GACGAACGCUGGCGGCGUGCUUAACACAUGCAAGUCGAACGGAAAGGCCCCUUUGGGGGUACUCGAGUGGCGAACGGGUGAGUAACACGUGAGUAACCUGCCCUUGACUUCGGGAUAACUUCAGGAAACUGGGGCUAAUACCGGAUAGGAAUCCUUGCUGCAUGGUGGGGGUUGGAAAGCUUCGGCGGUUUUGGAUGGACUCGCGGCUUAUCGGCUUGUUGGUGGGGUAGUGGCUUACCAAGGCUUUGACGGGUAGCCGGCCUGAGAGGGCGACCGGCCACAUUGGGACUGAGAGACGGCCCAGACUCCUACGGGAGGCAGCAGGGGGGAAUAUUGCACAAUGGGCGGAAGCCUGAUGCAGCAACGCCGCGUGCGGGAUGACGGCCUUCGGGUUGUAAACCGCUUUCAGCAGGGGCGAAGCUUGUGGUGACGGUACCUGCAGAAGAAGCACCGGCUAACUACGUG
Molecule: ribosomal RNA, 465 nt
Filed under: uncultured bacterium
Lineage: Bacteria
Description: partial 16S ribosomal RNA
Rfam family: Bacterial small subunit ribosomal RNA
Source: RNAcentral